CCGAUUUGGGUGACCGUACCGCAAACCGACACUGGUAGGUGGGUAGAAUAUACCAGUGGGAGCGAGAGAACCCUCGUUAAGGAAUUAGGCAAAUUUCCCCCGUACGUUCGCAAUAAGGGGGGCCUCUGGUGGUGAGCUUAAUCGCAAAGCUGCUGGAGGCCGCAGAGAAAUGGCUCUUCCAACUGUUUAACAAAAACACAGGUCUCUGCUAAGUCGAAAGACGAAGUAUAGGGGCUGACGCCUGCCCAGUGCUGGAAGGUUAAGGGGAGAGGUUAGGCGCAAGCCGAAGCUUUGAGCCGAAGCCCCAGUGAACGGCGGCCGUAACAAUAACGGUCCUAAGGUAGCGAAAUUCCUUGUCGGGUAAGUUCCGACCCGCACGAAUGGCGUAAUGAGAGGAGCACUGUCUCAACGAGGGACUCGGCGAACAUUGAAGGACGUGUGAAGAUACACGUGACCCGCAGCGGGACAAAAAGACCCCGUGAAGCUUUACUACAACGUGCCAUUGAGUUAGGGCUAAACCUGUGUAGUAUAGGUGGGAGGCUUUGAAGCUGGGACGCCAGUCUCGGUGGAGCCACCGUUGAAAUACCACCCUGGUUUAUUCUUGGCUCUAACCUGUCGCCGUUAUCCGGCAUGGGAACAGUGGCUGGUGGGUAGUUUGACUGGGGCGGUCGCCUCCGAAAGCGUAACAGAGGCGCCCAAAGGUUCCCUCAGGCUGAAUGGAAACCAGCCGUUGAGUGUAAAGGCACAAGGGAGCUUGACUGCAAGACCAACAAGUCGCGCAGGGACGAAAGUCGGGCUUAGUGAUCCCACGGUUCAGAGUGGAAUGGCCGUGGCUUACCGGAUAAAAGCUACUCCGGGGAUAACAGGGUAGUCUGGUCCAAGAGUUCAUGUCUACGACCAGGUUCGCCACCUCGAUGUCGGCUCAUCACAUCCUGGGGCUGGAUAAGGUCCCAAGGGUUGGGCUGUUCGCCCAUUAAAGUGGUACGUGAGCUGGGUUCAGACCGUCGUGAGACAGGUCGGUCUCUAUCCGCUGUGGGCGUAAGGGAUUUGAGAGAAGCUGCCCCUAGUACGAGAGGACCGGGGUGGACGGACCUCUAGUGUGCCAGUUGUUCUGCCAAGAGCAUUGCUGGGUAGCUACGUCCGGCAGAGAUAACCGCUGAAAGCAUCUAAGUGGGAAACUCGUCUCAAGAUUAGAUCCCUCAUCCGUAUGGAGUAAGACCGCUAGAAGACUACUAGUUUGAUAGGCGGCAGGUGUAAGCGCAGUAAUGUGUUCAGCUUAGCCGUACUAAUGGUCGAGGGCUUACGUUU
Molecule: ribosomal RNA, 1308 nt
Filed under: metagenome
Description: bacterial LSU rRNA
Rfam family: Bacterial large subunit ribosomal RNA
Source: RNAcentral